This is a long non-coding RNA of Triticum aestivum (bread wheat), 351 nucleotides long. RefSeq lists it as uncharacterized. NCBI's taxonomy places the organism in Eukaryota, Viridiplantae, Streptophyta, Magnoliopsida, Poales, Poaceae. The record is from RefSeq and is a predicted model, not a curated record. The transcript is spliced from 3 exons.
GUGGCACGACGUACAAAGAGCUUUGCUGCUCGCAGGACCAGGAGUGCAGCAGCACGGGGGUGCCGGGAGAUGGACGCAGGCCAAGAAGAGGACCAUGACCGUACCAAGGAGGUGAUGAACACAACAAACAGCCGGUGUUCAGGGUUGCAGUAGUAAUUGGAAGAUAUUUAUAGAGUUAGGUUGCCACCAAUGGGAAUACAGCCAGGGGACUGGUUUUGCUUGUCAGCGACCAAAACAAGAACAAGUCAAUUCUUAUAUGUACAUAUUCAAUUUGUGGAUGGUUGGAGGCUCUGUGUUCAUGGUUUAUAUGGGUCAUCUUUAUAUCUGGGCCAUGGUGGUUGUGAUUCAAAU